This is a long non-coding RNA of Cervus elaphus (red deer), 353 nucleotides long. RefSeq lists it as uncharacterized. The record is from RefSeq and is a predicted model, not a curated record. Lineage: Eukaryota; Metazoa; Chordata; Mammalia; Artiodactyla; Cervidae. The transcript is spliced from 3 exons.
ACAGUGAGAAGAUAGUCACCUAUGGACCAGAAAGCAGGCCCUCACCAAACUUCAAACCUGCCAGCCUGGAUCGUGGGAUUCCCACCUCCACAACUGGUGAAGAACACGAACACAGGGAGUUAGAGUCCCACAUGCUGAUAACUCCAUCAAGAGAGAAGAAAGAUUUUUCUCUUCCAGCUGCAGAAUGAGAACCUCCAGGGAAGGAGUAAUAAUAAAAUAGGUCCAGUCUGAGUCUUAAAAAAGGAAGCAAAUAUAAUAGCUCCAAACAUGAUUACAGAUGGAUUCUUUACCGCUGGGCCACCUAGGAAGCCCCAUGGGUAAACUGAAAAAUGAAACUCCUGGACUUGCAAACC